RNAcentral lists this ribosomal RNA (277 nucleotides) under uncultured Pseudomonas sp. RNAcentral's name for it is "partial 16S ribosomal RNA". It matches the Rfam family "Bacterial small subunit ribosomal RNA", at positions 1107 to 1382 of the family's 1533-position model. Lineage: Bacteria; Pseudomonadati; Pseudomonadota; Gammaproteobacteria; Pseudomonadales; Pseudomonadaceae. The record is from RNAcentral.
GUCCUUAGUUACCAGCACGUAAUGGUGGGCACUCUAAGGAGACUGCCGGUGACAAACCGGAGGAAGGUGGGGACGACGUCAAGUCAUCAUGGCCCUUACGGCCUGGGCUACACACGUGCUACAAUGGUCGGUACAAAGGGUUGCCAAGCCGCGAGGUGGAGCUAAUCCCAUAAAACCGAUCGUAGUCCGGAUCGCAGUCUGCAACUCGACUGCGUGAAGUCGGAAUCGCUAGUAAUCGUGAAUCAGAAUGUCACGGUGAAUACGUUCCCGGGCCCUU